Homo sapiens (human) is the source of this 431-nucleotide long non-coding RNA. The record is from Ensembl. NCBI's taxonomy places the organism in Eukaryota, Metazoa, Chordata, Mammalia, Primates, Hominidae.
AUCUUCACAAGCCAUAUUAGUUCCCCCUCCACCUCCUAGAAGCCUCACAUUUGUUUACCCCACAUCAAUCGCCAGUUAGAAACACAAAACUGAUUCCCACUUCCAUGCAUGUGCUCUCUAUGUAGCCCUUUGGUGACUGAUUAGUACCUCUAAGAAGUCUCUCUUCAGAGUCAACGGUAGUGCUACUCAUUCUUUCUGCCACAUCUGCAUUCAUUAGAUAAGUAUCAAAGUCUACUUACCUGUAUUGGAAUUACCCCCUCUGAAACCUACUUCCUUUAUGGCAAACAAAACAUCUUUGGCUGAUGUAAAGUUUUUCAAGUAAAAUUCUAUUUUGGGAUGUUCACUGAGUGGAAGAAAGAAAAUGUUAUUCAGGGAGAAUUAAAAAGGUAAAAUAAGCAACAUUACAUGCCUUAAAAAACAGUUUUAAAACC